CUUCCUGCCGGCGACCGGCGCACGGGUGAGUAACACGUAUGCAACCUGCCCCUGUCAGGGGGACAACCCGCCGAAAGGCGGGCUAAACCCGCGUACAUGCCACCGGGGCAUCCCGGAGGCAGGAAAGGCUUCGGCCGGACAGGGAUGGGCAUGCGGCGCAUUAGGCAGUAGGCGGGGUAACGGCCCACCUAACCGACGAUGCGUAGGGGUUCUGAGAGGAAGGUCCCCCACACUGGUACUGAGACACGGACCAGACUCCUACGGGAGGCAGCAG
This 274-nucleotide ribosomal RNA is filed under the name uncultured bacterium. RNAcentral describes it as "partial 16S ribosomal RNA". It matches the Rfam family "Bacterial small subunit ribosomal RNA", at positions 81 to 354 of the family's 1533-position model. The record is from RNAcentral.